This is a long non-coding RNA of Numida meleagris (helmeted guineafowl), 1377 nucleotides long. RefSeq lists it as uncharacterized. The transcript has 4 exons. The record is from RefSeq and is a predicted model, not a curated record. NCBI's taxonomy places the organism in Eukaryota, Metazoa, Chordata, Aves, Galliformes, Numididae.
GCUGACUAAGACUGUAGCUCAAGUCUCAAAUUGAACCAUAUGAAUUUGUACAAGCACCAUUAGCAGAAUUAUAAUCUCAAAUCAAGGUAUGUAACUGGAUAUCCAUGUUUGAAAAGCCUGGCUUGUGUAAUUGAGCACAUAAUUAUGCAAGCAGAUUUGGUUGUACAACUUUUAAUGCCAGCCAGCAAUGCUGCAUUUCUAGCACUUUUUCCACUUUGUGCAAACCGGCAGGAACUGGGAAAUUAAACAUUAUCAUAUUUAUUCUAUACGGAUUUUCUGCUCACUUUGAAGAACUACAUCUGAAACUAACAAGGUUAGCUGAAGAAAUGUAUCUUUCAAGAAAAGGCACCAUAAACAAGAGUAAUUUCAGAAGUUCAGCUCUUCAUAAGAGACACGGACUUGUCUUCAGAAGAAGGCUUGGAUUGUACUAGGGAGCUCUGUGUUCAGCCCCGUUUGUUGAAUGGACCUUGGACUUAUGUCAUGGACUUUUCUCAAACGGUUUACAGAUUUAACAGACUAUGUGCUAAGAACUGGAAAAAAAAGAAAAGAAAAAAAAGUGUAACAAAUAAUUCACAGAACUUCUGUUGAACUUCUGGCUACCAGAAUGGACACAAUGGAUUCCUAACUGUCACCUGUGGGAAAUUCUGCUGGCAUUUCAAUAUUUCUGCCUUAUCUUGUCCUUAUCUCCAGAAAGCACUAUGGGACUAUAACUCCAAUUUCUCGUCUGUGGAGCCUUGAAAUCUCCUCCUGCACAGAAAGGAAUCAGAAAUACAGAAGUUUUCCUACUACUGAAGUGACUUUUCCAAAGUUAAAAUAUGCUCAUUUAACUUUAAUUUGAAUGUAAUUCAAGACUAGUUUUAUAAUGGAUGUUCUUUGUUGGAUAUAAAUAGAAAAUAAGAAAUAUGAAACUGCACAAGUGCAGUGUGGGACUAUCUGCCGAGCAGCUCAGAUUAAAAUAUUCAAAAUCUAAGAUGCAUCUAAUCUGUUAUGAAUUUUUCUCUUGGUUUAUUUGCCUAUUAUCAUCAUUUCAUCAUUUGCUCUUAAGGGUAAAUUAAUAUACUCAUAUUCCAAGUAAUUUCAAGCCCCAGCGUUGUCUGUAGAUAUUUUCAAUUCAUGUAAUUCAUUCUGAUGAACCUAUACUUAAAUGUUUCCAUGAGUGCAAUGUCACCAGUGUCACGUGAGGACCUUCAAUAGUGCUUUGAUGGCAAGAGCAGUCCUGCUUAUCUUAGUGGUCUGUGAUUUCUCUGCUUAGGUGUGGGGGGAGACAACAAAGAGCUCAACAGACUCUGGUAGAUCUUAUCUCUGUGAGGCCUCCGGAGUCUGGAGACAGGGCUAAGGUGUAAACAGAAUACUCUUUAGUAUGCACAGCUAAUGUGG